RNAcentral lists this unclassified non-coding RNA (351 nucleotides) under soil metagenome. RNAcentral's name for it is "partial contains 5.8S ribosomal RNA, internal transcribed spacer 2, and large subunit ribosomal RNA". The stretch from base 1 to 120 matches the Rfam family "5.8S ribosomal RNA", at positions 35 to 154 of the family's 154-position model. The record is from RNAcentral.
GAUGAAGAACGUAGCGAAACGCGAUAUGUAAUGUGAAUUGCAGAAUUCAGUGAAUCAUCGAAUCUUUGAACGCACAUGGCGCCUUCCAGUAUCCUGGGAGGCAUGCCUGUCCGAGCGUCGUUUCAACCCUCGAGCCCCCGUGGCCCGGCGUUGGGGAUCUGCCACGGCAGGCCCCUAAAACCAGUAGCGGACCCGAAGGCCCUCUCCUUUGCGCAGUAGCAUCAGCCUCGCAUUGGGAUCCCUCGGCGUCCUGCCUCUAAACCCCCCACAAGUCCGCUCCGGCGGCACCAAGGUUGACCUCGGAUCAGGUAGGAAUACCCGCUGAACUUAAGCAUAUCAAUAAGCGGAGGA